UGAUAACCACUCGCAUUUGAUCUGAAGGCGUUCAAACACACAGUCUAUCUUUGUACCUCCAAUAAGAAAACCAUCUGUUGUUGCUGAGCGAUCGUUCAUUACAAUGUAUUUCCUACUGCAGGAAUAUCUCACCAGCUGAAUUCCUGGACACCAUGGGUGCCUGUAGAUAAACUCCUGUAGGGCCUCCAGCCCCAGUCCAGACAUAACUGAUCAUGACACAGAGCCUUGGAGACGGAGUGAGGGAUAGGAGGUGAAGCCAUGUCGGGUAGACAUGGCCCUUCCACAAGGCCUGGCCAAUAAGAGCUCCGAUAUCUGGGAGGGCCAAGCGGGGGGAGGAGGGAUCGGGAGAUGUGGAGAUAGAGUGAUGAGUGUGUUUAGAACAGCAGCGGAGGCCAGGCUUCCUUUUGUUCUAAGUCUGAUGAGGAGGGGAACCCUGCUAGGCUGCUAUGAGCGCUCAUCAUCGCCCUGCGCAGCCCCACAGCCCUGCCAAGCUGUCGACAGCACAUUUCUCACAGACUGGGGGGUGUGAUUGACAGGGAAAGGAGUAAGGAGAGCAGCUUUUGGUACAGAGAGAUCUUUAUCGUUCUGUAAGGCAGAUGUACCACAGUGUUCUGCUAAGGACCCAGGGACUGAACGUUGGGUGAGAGUAGAACACAGAAUGUACAGUAGAGACGCUUCUAGAACUGGUGUGUGUUGUGGUGUCAACCUAGACUUGACCUUUUGUUGCAGAUACACACACACACACACACAGAUAGAAUCACAAAUAACAGCAUUGGCCAUAAAAAGUCUUCUUUAGAAUUACACUGUUGAGUUUGUUGUUUCAUGGUCACCUUGGGUUGUGCUCAUGAAUCUCUGUAAAUUGUGGUACGUAAGAUAAAAUAUCAAUAUUUCUUGUGCAAGUGCAGGCAGUCAAUGUCAAAGGCGUUUUUUCAAGUUCUGCAUCAACAAAGCAAUUUGUUUCCCUUGAGUAUACUAAUUUCUGGAUUUCACAGUGGCAGGUGUUAUGGCUGCCAGUCAUUAUAUGAAAAUCAGCAAAAUCCUAACCAUGGUGCUUAUCCUCCUGACAAAAUGGGACGGAUUCCUUCUGCCUGAUUUGACAACCUGGUCUCAGAGCAUUUUGUAUUAUUCUGUAUGUAAAUCCAAGACACUCUAUUUAGUAUGAUAUGUUACGUUUCAUAUGGCACAGUAUGUAUUAAUUUGUGGAUGUCCAUGACCCAUUUCAUAUGAUAUGUUACGAAUAACCAUUUUUAUUACAUGUUAUGCAUUUGCAAAACAUACAAUAUGUUACGCAUUCGCAAAAAAAUGGAGCAUCCCAAAUGUACAUUGUGUGUUAAAUCUAGUCUAUGAGACUGGGCUGAAUUUGAGGGAGGGCAGGCAGAAGACAGGUUAACUUUCUGAUUUGAGGGAGGGCAGGCAGAAG
Oncorhynchus gorbuscha (pink salmon) is the source of this 1420-nucleotide long non-coding RNA. RefSeq lists it as uncharacterized. The record is from RefSeq and is a predicted model, not a curated record. NCBI's taxonomy places the organism in Eukaryota, Metazoa, Chordata, Actinopteri, Salmoniformes, Salmonidae. The transcript has 4 exons.